Lineus longissimus is the source of this 1988-nucleotide long non-coding RNA. RefSeq lists it as uncharacterized. The transcript has 8 exons. The record is from RefSeq and is a predicted model, not a curated record. NCBI's taxonomy places the organism in Eukaryota, Metazoa, Nemertea, Pilidiophora, Heteronemertea, Lineidae.
UUCAGCGAUGCGGCGGGUUCAAAACUUCUCUUUUAGUCCUUCAUUUUACUUCUAUUUCGUGAAUAAAGACAUAUUAUGGAAGACAGCCUAAAGAUGUUUCUCAAGCAAGUGUAAUUACAAGUAUUGAACUAUGGAUUCAUUCACUUCCAAUACCAUUCCAAUGUCCGAGAAUUAAAAGCAGGACCCAAUCUAGAGAAUAGUGAGACUGGCUGGCCAAAGAUGUUUCUCCUUGUAUGAUGAUAAGUCCUGAGCUAUGGAUGCACUUCACCUAACCGUCUUCCCCAUUCCUAGGAAGGAUCAAUUUACAUGUGAACAAAUGGAGGAUCAGCAUUGAAGAUGAACGCACAAGAGGAGGGAUGAAAACAGUGACUGGCUGAGAUGGUGGCAUCCAAGCUGCGGUGUGGACAACUGUUGAGAGACUAAGGCCAAGCAUCUCUGACUGUUUCAAGAUUAGGGACUUUGAUGUCACUCAGCUGUCCAAGAGAGAUCCGACAAAAUAUUACAGAAGAAAAAGAUGCAGCGGUUUGGUUUGGCAUGGCUAAGUAUCCACCGACACACUGUCAAAAAGGGGGUGGCGACUUAUGUGCCUCCGAGACAUGGAGUUAAAUGUCAGCUUGUUGAGUGAUAAAUUCAGCAGUCAGUUUGAAAUGAUUUCGUGCCUGUGAUCUAAGGCACAGUGAUACUGCUGCUGAAACAGCAAUGCCAGGCAUUGGACUUGAGAGAGUGAUACCUUGCCACCACAGGAACAAUAUUAAGAACACUUCAAAAUGUAAGAAGCAGAAAUUUCACCAAAAAUCAAUAUUAUCUGGUUACAAAUGUGUUCUAAUUUAAGUUAUUUUUUAGCCAACAUGGUUUCCAAAAAGAUGAGAUGGGUAGACGCAACAUAAAAACAUGGGAGUGUCUGUCUGUACACAGCUGCACAGUUUAAGAAGAGCAGGGCAGAGAACUGCUCCAGGCGAGAAUAUUUCUGUGCCUCCACCUGAUGACCCAGACUGGACAAGAGCAUAGGUGAUCAUGCAAGCAAGGUAUCAUACAAUUGUCCUACCGGAAAACAAGCCAAACACCACUGCCAAGAUUGACUGGGAUCGGCUGACCACACCAGUUUGCAGACACAGAUGACAAUCAGUGGUGUUUUCCAGGGCACCUCAAAAGGAAAACCACUGGUAAUUGAAGCUGGUAGAUCACCGUGACAUCUCUCGUAAACAAGCUGGGUUAUGGACAAGGAUCACAUCAACCAAGUUCAAAUGUCUUGAACACGAUAGGGCCCCUUCCAUACUGACUGGAAAAGACAUCUGUCAUCUUUGCUUUGGUUCACCAGUUAUACAGAAUAUGCAGGACAUUGUGAACACCGAGAAUAUCACGAAGAACUGAGUGGUGCCGAAAAUACCUGAAGAUUUACUUUUUCAGCUAAGAAUGACUUUGUAGGCCUAAAGGUUUAGAAGUUAUACCUAAAUUCCUCAGGACUAUCGACUUACUCCUAAGGUAGUCUGGAAAACAUUUCAUCUUGGAUGCAGAGAAAGAGUGUACAGUAGAACCUCUCUAUUAAGGACACCCUCGGGACUGACAAGUGCUGUCCUUAAUAAAGAGAUGUCCUGAUUAGAGAGGUCAAAUGAAAUGGAAACAACCAAUUUGGGACCAAAACAAGUGUUUUCCUUAGUAGAGAGGUGUCUCCUAAGGGAGGUUCUACUGUAGUUACAUUACUUAUUAGUUAGUUUUAGUGUUAGUUUUCACUGUUGAAGGAUACAGACACAGAUGUGAAUCGGCAGUGAAGGUGACCUUUUCAAGUGAGGAACCAACGUCUUGGUAUUGCAGCCACUGUAGCUUAGGUAGUAUAGUGACCUACAUGAAGUUGUUUUCAGUUAUGGAAGUCCAUGGGGUUAGUUGCAUUUAACCUUGACUCUGUAGGACUGGGUCCAUUGAAUGUAACAAAAAUAAUCGAUGCCUAUUUACAAAUGAAAUGAAGAGUCUGCAUUUUGGUGCAACUCCAU